RNAcentral lists this ribosomal RNA (253 nucleotides) under uncultured bacterium. RNAcentral describes it as "partial 16S ribosomal RNA". It matches the Rfam family "Bacterial small subunit ribosomal RNA", at positions 524 to 776 of the family's 1533-position model. The record is from RNAcentral.
AACGUAGGACGCAAGCGUUAUCCGGAGUUACUGGGCGUAAAGCGCGUGCAGGCGGCUCGAUGCGUCUGAUGUGAAAUCUCCUCGCUCAACGGGGAGAGGCCAUUGGAAACGGUCGAGCUGGAGGGCAGUAGAGGCAGGCGGAAUUCCGGGUGGAGUGGUGAAAUGCGUAGAGAUCCGGAGGAACACCAGAGGCGAAGGCGGCCUGCUGGGCUGCACCUGACGCUGAGCCGCGAAAGCCAGGGGAGCGAACGGG